GAUGAACGCUGGCGGCAUGCCUAAUACAUGCAAGUCGAACGAGAGGAAGGAAAGCUUGCUUUUCUGAAUCUAGUGGCGAACGGGUGAGUAACACGUAGGUAACCUGCCCAUGUGCCCGGGAUAACUUCUGGAAACGGAUGCUAAAACCGGAUAGGUAGCAGACAAGCAUUUGACUGCUAUUAAAGUGGCUAAGGCCAUGAACAUGGAUGGACCUGCGGUGCAUUAGCUAGUUGGUGAGGUAACGGCCCACCAAGGCGAAGAUGCAUAGCCGGCCUGAGAGGGCGGACGGCCACAUUGGGAAUGGGACACGGCCCAAACUCCUACGGGAGGCAGCAGUAGGGAAUUUUCGUCAAUGGGGGGAACCCUGAACGAGCAAUGCCGCGUGAGUGAGGAAGGUCUUCGGAUCGUAAAGCUCUGUUGUAAGAGAAAAACGACAUUCAUAGGGAAUGAUGAGUGAGUGAUGGUAUCUUACCAGAAAGUCACGGCUAACUACGUGCCAGCAGCCGCAGUAA
Molecule: ribosomal RNA, 512 nt
Filed under: uncultured bacterium
Lineage: Bacteria
Description: partial 16S ribosomal RNA
Rfam family: Bacterial small subunit ribosomal RNA
Source: RNAcentral